This 22-nucleotide non-coding RNA is filed under the name Arabidopsis thaliana (thale cress). The record is from RNAcentral. Lineage: Eukaryota; Viridiplantae; Streptophyta; Magnoliopsida; Brassicales; Brassicaceae.
UAGGAUCUCUCAUGUGUGCAUA